This 502-nucleotide ribosomal RNA is filed under the name uncultured bacterium. RNAcentral's name for it is "partial 16S ribosomal RNA". It matches the Rfam family "Bacterial small subunit ribosomal RNA", at positions 28 to 507 of the family's 1533-position model. The record is from RNAcentral.
GACGAACGCUGGCGGCGUGCCUAAUACAUGCAAGUCGAACGAACCGCGACUGAGUGCUUGCACUUGGUCAAGGUGAGUGGCGAACGGGUGAGUAACACGUGGGUAACCUACCUCAUAGUGGGGGAUAACAGUCGGAAACGACUGCUAAUACCGCAUAGGACAUAGGAUCACAUGAUCCAGUGAGGAAAGGUGGCGCAAGCUAUCGCUAAGAGAUGGACCCGCGGUGCAUUAGCUAGUUGGUAGGGUAAAGGCCUACCAAGGCGAUGAUGCAUAGCCGACCUGAGAGGGUGAUCGGCCACAUUGGGACUGAGACACGGCCCAAACUCCUACGGGAGGCAGCAGUAGGGAAUCUUCCGCAAUGGACGCAAGUCUGACGGAGCAACGCCGCGUGAGUGAAGAAGGUCUUCGGAUCGUAAAGCUCUGUUGUUGGAGAAGAACAGCGCAUAGAGUAACUGCUAUGCGUGUGACGGUAUCUAACCAGAAAGCCACGGCUAACUACGUG